UUAGUGGCGAACGGGUGAGUAACGCGUGGGCAACCUGCCCUCUAGAUGGGGACAACAUCCCGAAAGGGGUGCUAAUACCGAAUGUGACAGCAAUCUCGCAUGAGGAUGCUGUGAAAGAUGGCCUCUAUUUAUAAGCUAUCGCUAGAGGAUGGGCCUGCGUCUGAUUAGCUAGUUGGUGGGGUAACGGCCUACCAAGGCGAUGAUCAGUAGCCGGUCUGAGAGGAAGGUCCCCACAUUGGAACUGAGACACGGUCCAAACUCC
RNAcentral lists this ribosomal RNA (262 nucleotides) under uncultured Veillonellaceae bacterium. RNAcentral describes it as "partial 16S ribosomal RNA". It matches the Rfam family "Bacterial small subunit ribosomal RNA", at positions 92 to 339 of the family's 1533-position model. The record is from RNAcentral. Lineage: Bacteria; Bacillati; Bacillota; Negativicutes; Veillonellales; Veillonellaceae.